AUUAAAAUAAUAUACAUAGAGAGACUGGAACCCCAAAUCUGGGGAGCUCUGCGAAUCGGGCGACGGCCGUUUCAACCCACCAUCUCCGAUUCUCUCCACUGUCGAAGAUCUAAUCCUUUGCAUGUAUAAGACUAGCACCUAAAUCACCUCUUUUGUUCAUGAAUUAGAUUUUUCAAUCAUCAAACCUAAAUUUUCUAGUUUCUUUUUCGAUUUUCCAACCUUUCUUCAAUUUCUGUUGUUUUAAUCAGGCCAUGAGCGGCUAAUUCCGCCGUUCAUAGGCUCUGAUGGAAACCCGUUACACAAGCUUAUGGAUGUGAUUUAGCGUUAAGGGGAUUCAAAAAUUUAUUCAAGGAAGUGGGAGCUUGUAUUUUUCUCUGCAAGUGUGGUUCAAUCACAUAAAAUAUUGCUUCUCAGAACUGAUAAGGAAGACGGUUUAUUGAGGGGGUCAGAGAUUAGAGAAGCAAUUGGGAUUGAACCGUCAAUAUCUCGUUGUGAUCAUCAAUUUGUUUAAAGGUUCGGAAAUGAAGAUACUUUUGGGAGCAACUCUAUCACCUAGCAACGUAACUCUACUUGAAGAAUCUAUUCUAUAUCCCCAUUUGAAGAUCUUGGUGUAACGGGAGAAAGUCAGAGCCUAUGAGCAUCUUACUUGUUUGAGCUCUAAUUCUUAGCUUAGUAUCAUUUUGGUAGCUUGAUUUCAGUAGUCUCUUUUUUACUGUUUAUUGUUUUUUUUAGUAGUCUUUUACCUUUCUGAUCAGCUUUUGACCUAAAUAUCCUUUGUGCUUAAUCUGUUUUUAUUUAGGCAAUUGUCUAAACCUUUUUCCUUUGAAGCUCUGCCAAUCGGAUAAUCUGUAAUUCAACUUAAAUUGCUUUUGAGCAGCCUAUCUUUUGUUCUGUUGCUGCAUUCUAGUCGUGAAGACUGGUAUCAAUUCUUUUUCCAAGUUUUUUUUC
This is a long non-coding RNA of Papaver somniferum (opium poppy), 948 nucleotides long. RefSeq lists it as uncharacterized. The record is from RefSeq and is a predicted model, not a curated record. NCBI's taxonomy places the organism in Eukaryota, Viridiplantae, Streptophyta, Magnoliopsida, Ranunculales, Papaveraceae. The transcript is spliced from 2 exons.